This 208-nucleotide long non-coding RNA is filed under the name Ricinus communis (castor bean). RNAcentral describes it as "long non-coding RNA (RCOM_LNC000983)". The record is from RNAcentral. Lineage: Eukaryota; Viridiplantae; Streptophyta; Magnoliopsida; Malpighiales; Euphorbiaceae.
AAAAAUCCCUAGAUAAAGAACCCCAAUGGGUUAACAAGUUUAGCUAAUCAUGUUCGUUAUAAAAACCCACAAGAAUUCAAUUACAAGAAUGAGUAAAGGUAGAGAAACCCGAAUACACCCUUGGAUGAGAGUAAACGGCUCCAAUUCCUCUUGCCCAAUCUUGAAUUGAUUCUUGUUCCUCUUGCUCGAAUUGAAACCAAUUAAUGAA